GGCCAGCAGACCCAAGAGUAGGGCUUUUCCCAAAGAGGGGAGACUAUAGCUUACAUACGCAUGAAGAAAACAGCGGGCAGGGGCACCAGAAACAAACAGGAAGAUCCUUCUGAGCCCAAGAGUGGAGGAAACUCAGAACCACAGCUGAAGAAAUAAUGGGAAACACAGCCCCAGGCAGAAGGGCAGACACAUUCCCCAGGAACUCAGCUGCACCAGGGCCUGGGGCCUGCGAAUCUGGAAGGCAUCAUGCUGGAACCAGGCUCACUGACUGGGGCCUUCUCUGAGAUGUUUCUACAGUUGGGAAUCCAUGUGCUGUUGCCAUAGAUGUCAACCCUGGUGCCCAUGGGCUCUUUGGACCACACUGUGACUUUGGCUACUUCCCUAAACACUGUCAUCAUGACCUCAACUGUCUACAGCAAAGCUGUCUACAUCUCUUCCCUCUGCUCCACAUAACAGUGGAAUGAACACUGGUCAUCUAAGUGUUCACAGGACACAUAACUACACUUGUUGCAGCCCAAGCAAGUGGGAAGCUUGGAACUUGAGAGACCACACUUCCUGCAGAGACCCCUGGGGCACAGUUCUGUCCACAGCCCUCUGAGUCUCCAGAGUGGGAAGGAAAGAAAGCAAACAGGAGAGGAUCCAGCUCUUUUCCGGGAGCCAGAACCUGACCCCAUUGCUAAUUCUCCUGGAAGCCACUUCAGAUCCCCUCUUAUGUCCACUAUAAUUAAGUAGAUAAUUCAGAAGUUUUAGAAAAAUGGCCAACAUGAAAAGUUAAAGGGCCUCAGCCACCUAAGGGUUCACCCUUCCAGUUCCAUUCCCGUGUUCUGAAAAAGGGAUGCUUUCAGAUAAAGCUACAGGAAAAACACUGCUUGCCAAGGCAAGAGGGGAUAAUGAGCCUGAACUCAGCGGUGGCUGACCGCCAGCCAGGUCCCACCAGGGUCAUCAUUCGGCAUUCCAAGCCUUGUCCUCCAAGCCUUCCAGCAAACGGCACAGCAGCUCCCUUUUACAUUAGCUCAGAAAUACGGACUCCUUCUCCAUCCUUCUGGGAGCUCUCCGUGUCUAGGGCUUCUUCUGGGUCACAGGCAGUCUCUGCCUUUUUCUGACAGGUUAAAGGGCUUAAGUCUCCUUUUAUUCCAGAACAAGAAUCCUAUAAUCAUUUUGCCCCUGAUGUUGAGUUAGCUGACCCCACGAAGCAAUGGUUUUCAUCAGAGAGAUACCGAGAGCGACAAUGGUAUUCAGGAUGAUGCAAUGUCAAAACCGAGGGAAAAGAUUGUUCAGAAACAGUUACUGACUGAUAGAAAAUCUGGGCCUUUGGGGAAUAGUAGAUAAGUUCACAGUUUCCCCACCAUGGACCUCCCCAACAAUAAUACAGGCUGCAAGCUCAUCCCAGAGUAACUGUAGCACCCUCGCCUGCCUCCUUCUGCCUAUAACUUCAACCAAUUGCAGUUCUCUGCCUCAGCUAUAUCUCAGUUGCUUCACAUGCAUAGACACUGGCAAACAUGCCACAGAUGCUCAUCUACAGCCUCUCUAGAAGAGCAAUUAAAGACUGCACCCAGUGUCAGCAAUGUCACACAGAUUAACAAAGAUUAACCUCAAAUUGGCAGUUUGAUUCCUGGAAUUUCGACCCAUUAUGUGUUUGUGCAAACCAACAGUUCACUUUACUCUGCUAAUUACAGAUGAAUGGGCCCUACCAUAGUCUUCUGUUUCUUUCCCAGUUGAGUGAUCCAGUUUGAGGACUGGUUUUAAAGUCACUGCAAUAGACAGCAUAGAUGCCAAAGUGCCCAGUUUCUUAUUCACCCCCAGUUAGCUGCCUGCAAAACGUGUCUAAAAUUAUUCUUAAUUCCAAGUUCUCUCUGUACAAUCAGCCUCUCCAAUAUAAUAGUUCUAAAACCUUUUCUUGAUUUCUGCUUUUAAUAAAGUACAUUUAGAGAGGA
Molecule: non-coding RNA, 1934 nt
Organism: Cricetulus griseus (Chinese hamster)
Lineage: Eukaryota; Metazoa; Chordata; Mammalia; Rodentia; Cricetidae
Source: RefSeq, a predicted model, not a curated record